Long non-coding RNA from Trifolium pratense (red clover), 868 nucleotides. RefSeq lists it as uncharacterized. The record is from RefSeq and is a predicted model, not a curated record. NCBI's taxonomy places the organism in Eukaryota, Viridiplantae, Streptophyta, Magnoliopsida, Fabales, Fabaceae. The transcript has 4 exons.
CAUAAUUUAAAGAAUCUUACAAAACGUGCUGAAGAACAUGAAACUUUCUUCAACAAGGUUAUUCAUUUAUUGAAUGUUCUUGGCUUUGGUGGAUUUUGUUUCCUCUUAGGGGCAAGACCUCAAGAUGUUCCUUUAGUCUAUUGUUUGUUCUAUGUUGUGUUUGUUCCUCUUCGUUGGAUAUAUUAUAGGUUCAAGAAAUGGCAUUACUAUCUCCUGGUAAAUUCAAAUAUCUCAAAUCCUGAGUUUGGAAUUUCAUAAUUUUGCAUCUAUGAAGCAUAAAUAUGGACACUAGACAUGCAUUCACACAUCGACACUGGUAAUAAUUUGUGAAAAUAAUAGUGAUUGUAUGUAAUUACAAGUGUCAUUGUUGUGGGCGGGUCGGAUAUCGACAUGUGUCAUACACCUGGACAUGUCUACCAUCUGAAAGUUCAGUGCUACAUGGACCACCGUUCCCUGCAUUCACAAAUUUGCCGCAUUUAUGCAUUAAGCGAAUCUUCGGUCGUUGGAUUGAGAGGGAAUGGUCCAAAUUUCAAGCUUGGUAUUUUUUAUUUUGAAACAAAUUAAAAAUUGCAUUGUAAUCUCGAUUGUCUGAGGUUAAUUCCACGACCGCAAAAAUGCUGAAUGCGUGAAUGCGGCAAAUUUGUGACAGCUGAGAAUCUGAUUUCGUGCUACAUAGGUAUUAGUUUCAUUGGCAUUAUGGCACAAUUUUGGUCAUUUUGUAGCAUUGUAUAGUCAUUUUGUGAGGAGGGAUAAAAGAGAAUAAUAUGUAACUGUCAAAACCAUGGAAUUUGAUUCCUUGCAAUAACUGUGUGACUUGGUUACCAAUCUCGACCGUCCAAUCUAUGAUAGAGGAUAGAAAUUAUUUAUA